Molecule: microRNA, 21 nt
Filed under: Pristionchus pacificus
Lineage: Eukaryota; Metazoa; Nematoda; Chromadorea; Rhabditida; Neodiplogasteridae
Description: ppc-miR-8264-5p
Source: miRBase by way of RNAcentral
UUUGUUGAGGUCUUGGGCUAG